UUAAAAACAAUCAAAUAAUCACAAAAAAACGACUAUAAAGCUCGAGAUCUCUGUUAGGCAACAGCGCACACGAAAAAUGAAUGAAAUAGUAAAAAUGAAUUUACGUCGUAAACAGAUGAGUUGCCACUUUCGUCACCAGGUAUUUAGGUACCUGAGGAACAAAUUUUGCAUGACACGAAUAUUUUAAUUUUGAUAUGGGAACUUGUUACAGUAAAUAGUGUGAUAAUUUGUGGAUUAUUGGCAAUUAAAUAGAAAAAUAAUACAUUUUCCGGCGAAACAUCUUUUCAACUUGGCAUCAUGGCCUUAAUAUCUAUAUGCGUGUAUGAUUUCAUUUAAUGUAAACAUGCUGGGUCUAUCCUUGGUUAUAAGUCUAUGCAAUAUCGCCAUUCGACAAAAUAAUUACAAUUAAUUGACGAGGUUUGCAUGUGCCGCGAAUCGACAUCAUCCAUCCUGUCUGGGCCUUCAGGUCACAUAUUUGUUUAAUAAAAGUAAAAUAAGUAAUCACAGUAUCAUUUAAUAAAAAUUAAAAUAUACAGUCCACUACCAGCAGAAGAAAAGUAAUCCAUCAUUAUUUCAAAUAGAACAUCCUAUAUGUAAUUAGAUUUUUGGAUUCUAUAUUAUUAAAAUAUUUAAUUCAUUGAGUUUUAUUUAUGAUUAUACCUACAUUGAUUUUUUUUACAUGUAUCAUAAUUUGUUAUAAAUUCAUAAAAGCAAUUUUAUGAAUUUAAAAGACUAAACAGCAAUUUUCAAAACCGCGUACCUUAGAAACAGUUGAAUAAAAGUAUGGCAAGUUAUAUGCUACCACCUAGAGACCCUACCAUUACGGGAGCUACGCCUACACACAGAACACAAAUAUAUAGCUGAUGACAAAUAUAUAUAACUGUUUCUCAGAAACAUUUAAAAUAUACAUACUCUUACAUCAAGGUCAGGACAAUUUCAAUCAAUUUUUAAUUGUUGAAUAAAAAAUGAGAGGCCAGACAUUUUGUAAUAUGUAUUUAUAAUAAUCAAGUUAAAAAUUAAAUACUUGAAAGUGAAACUUCUUCAUUGAAAUCAACUGAAUUUGAUUUUAUUAAAGACUAAAGAUUGACAAUACAAAAACAUAAUAGUAAUAAAUAAAAUCAGAUUUUCUUACCAGAAACCUGGAAUUGCUUGCCGCAAACUAAUUAAAACACUACUCCCAAUAUUGCAAGAGAACUUU
Molecule: long non-coding RNA, 1198 nt
Organism: Anthonomus grandis grandis
Lineage: Eukaryota; Metazoa; Arthropoda; Insecta; Coleoptera; Curculionidae
Exons: 2
Source: RefSeq, a predicted model, not a curated record